RNAcentral lists this ribosomal RNA (1044 nucleotides) under uncultured archaeon. RNAcentral's name for it is "bacterial SSU rRNA". It matches the Rfam family "Archaeal small subunit ribosomal RNA", at positions 1 to 1054 of the family's 1478-position model. The record is from RNAcentral.
UCCGUUUGAUCCUGGCGGAGGUCACUGCUAUCGGGGUUCGACUAAGCCAUGCAAGUCGAGAGGGGUAAAGCCUUCGGCGAACUGCUCAGUAACACGUGGAUAACCUGACCUAGGGUGGAGGAUAACCCCGGGAAACAGGGGAUAAUACUCCAUAGGCUACGGAAGCUGGAAUGCUCUGUAACCGAAAGCUCCGGCGCCCUAGGAUGGGUCUGCGGCCGAUUAGGUUGUUGUCGGGGUAACGGCCCAACAAGCCGAUCAUCGGUACGGGUUGUGGGAGCAAGAGCCCGGAGAUGGAUUCUGAGACAUGAAUCCAGGCCCUACGGGGCGCAGCAGGCGCGAAAACUUUACAAUGCGGGAAACCGUGAUAAGGGGACCCCGAGUGCCUGUACACGCAGGCUGUUCAGGUGUUUAAAACGCAUCUGGAGAAAGGGCCGGGCAAGACCGGUGCCAGCCGCCGCGAUAAUACCGGCGGCUCGAGUGGUGGCCACUAUUACUGGGCUUAAAGCGUCCGUAGCCGGGUUGUUAAGUCUCCUGGGAAAUCCAACGGCUCAACCGUUGGGCGUUCAGGGGAUACUGGCAAUCUAGGGAUCGGGGGAGGUGAGAGGUACUCUAGGGGUAGGAGUGAAAUCCUGUAAUCCUUGGGGGACCACCUGUGGCGAAGGCGUCUCACCAGAACGACUCCGACGGUGAGGGACGAAAGCUGGNGGAGCAAACCGGAUUAGAUACCCGGGUAGUCCCAGCUGUAAACGAUGCGCGUUAGGUGUAUCGGUGACUACGAGUUACCGAGGUGCCGAAGGGAAACCGUGAAACGUGCCGCCUGGGAAGUACGGUCGCAAGGCUGAAACUUAAAGGAAUUGGCGGGGGAGCACCACAACGGGUGGAGCCUGCGGUUUAAUUGGACUCAACGCCGGGAAGCUCACCGGGUAAGACAGCGGAGUGAUAGCCAGGCUGAAGACUUUGCUUGACCAGCUGAGAGGAGGUGCAUGGCCGUCGUCAGUUCGUACUGUGAAGCAUCCUGUUAAGUCAGGCAACGAGCGAGACCCA